UAAAAAGGUAAGCUAAGUAAGCUUAUAGGUUCAUACCCUGUCAAUGAAAGUAAAACCCUUCCCUUUUUAA
Molecule: transfer RNA, 70 nt
Filed under: unidentified
Description: Strongylium nakanei tRNA-Met
Source: RNAcentral